RNAcentral lists this ribosomal RNA (497 nucleotides) under uncultured bacterium. RNAcentral describes it as "partial 16S ribosomal RNA". It matches the Rfam family "Bacterial small subunit ribosomal RNA", at positions 28 to 507 of the family's 1533-position model. The record is from RNAcentral.
GAUGAACGCUGGCGGCGUGCCUAAUACAUGCAAGUCGAGCGAACAGACGAGGAGCUUGCUCCUCUGACGUUAGCGGCGGACGGGUGAGUAACACGUGGAUAACCUACCUAUAAGACUGGGAUAACUUCGGGAAACCGGAGCUAAUACCGGAUAAUAUAUUGAACCGCAUGGUUCUAUAGUGAAAGACGGUUUUGCUGUCACUUAUAGAUGGAUCCGCGCCGCAUUAGCUAGUUGGUAAGGUAACGGCUUACCAAGGCAACGAUGCGUAGCCGACCUGAGAGGGUGAUCGGCCACACUGGAGCUGAGACACGGUCCAGACUCCUACGGGAGGCAGCAGUAGGGAAUCUUCCGCAAUGGGCGAAAGCUUGACGGAGCAACGCCGCGUGAGUGAUGAAGGUCUUCGGAUCGUAAAACUCUGUUAUUAGGGAAGAACAAAUGUGUAAGUAACUAUGCACGUCUUGACGGUACCUAAUCAGAAAGCCACGGCUAACUACGUG